Long non-coding RNA from Equus caballus (horse), 1632 nucleotides. RefSeq lists it as uncharacterized. NCBI's taxonomy places the organism in Eukaryota, Metazoa, Chordata, Mammalia, Perissodactyla, Equidae. The record is from RefSeq and is a predicted model, not a curated record.
CCUGGGGUCUGAACCCUGGGCCGCCGAAGCAGAAUGUGUGCACUUAACCGCUGCGUCACUGGGCCGGCCCCAAACCAGUGGGUUCUUGAUGGCACAUGGAAGUGCCAGCCCACCCUCUUCAGACUUUCACAAUCAGAAUCUUCACAUGGUUUUGAGAAACUACCGUUUUGAUAGUGACACUUGUAGCUUUCAAUUGUUUUAAAUGUCAGCAUGUAAAGGAUGCAGAGAAGUCAGUGAUCAUCUGGUUCACUUGUUUUCAAACUUAUUUUAGCUGUGUAUCCUUUUGUUUUCUUCCUCUAAUGAAACCUUAUCUGAACUCCAAUAUAUAACAUGGAUCGAAGCAGAGUGGCUUGGGGUCUGGGCGGGUCACAGAGGCCUCUGAACCCUCUGAUUCAGUCUGCUCCCCUGCGGAACACACCUUGAAAAUCACUGAUCUAGAUUGCCAUUUUAUUUCUCAGAUGGAGAAAUUGAGGCCCAGAGGGGUUAAGUGGGUCACCACAGUAGCAUAAAGCGUAGCAGAGCCGUAACUGAAACUCUGGUCUCCUGGCUUAGGAAUUGUGUUCUUUCUACGGUACCAUGCUGCUUCUAGCAUUUUGGGAUGAGCACUCCAACAAAGUAGUUGUCCUUUUCUUCAGGUGCAUGAUAACUUGGACUGGACUAACAUGAAGGCAAGUAGAGGACUUUGGGAGCCUAAUCUAAUGAACAGAUACAAGCUUUAUAAUCAGGAGCAGCUGUUUGUUAAUUUAUUUAACAGAUUUAAUGAAUGCUUACUGUUCACCAUUCUAGGUGCUAGAGAUAUAUCAGUGAACAAGACACUGCCUGUCUUCAAAGAGCUCACGUCUUUCAUACUGUUUCAAUGGAUAAUAGAGAUAUAUAUAAUGGAGAAGCAUAUGAAAGAGAGAUGAAGGCUCCUUUCUGGAAAAAUAGAUCAGAGAUUCCAACCCCCUCAGAGGUAAGAAAUACCCCAUCCCCCUGGGUCCUAGCUGAUUAGAGCAGACCCGAGGCCAGGCCAGUCAGACUGCUCCCAAGAAUUUCAAAUUGCAACACCGUCUUUCCUGGGUACACUGGAACACGGAACUGUGAUGUUUGGGCAUAUGCACAAAAUAAAUAUUGGUUGUAUGAAUGAGUACGUGGCAGGAGGAUCUGCAAAGCGGGAGAAAAGAAGCAGAUAUGUGAGGGAAACCCAGACCAGGAGAGAGGCUCCUGGUUUCUGAGCCUCCCGAGGGCUAAGGUGCUGCCUUGCGUUCCUGGAUGCCGCUGUUUCCUUAUUAAAAGCGCCAUGUUUGCUUAAGUGGAUUUCUUUCAGGUGCAACCCAAGGACCCGUGUGCCAGGGCGUGCACAUUAUUAGCUCCUGUCCUGUGUGGCCACAUACUCUCAUCUGUGGUGGUGCCCUUAUUUCCCACAGCCUCAUCAACUUAGGGCUUUGUCACCUAUUUUUGUUUUUUCGCGUUUUAUGGGCAUACAAUGUUAGCUUAAGGUAAUUAACUUGCAUUUAUUUUAUUCACUGGUGAGACCAUCAUUUUUCUGAGAUAACUUCAUAUUGUUUACAGUGUCAGCCCUUUCUGAGUAGACUCCGGGUUCACACUUACACACUUAAUUCAGUUAUUUGGAUAAUAAACGUGUAUCUGGUG